RNAcentral lists this ribosomal RNA (253 nucleotides) under uncultured bacterium. RNAcentral's name for it is "partial 16S ribosomal RNA". It matches the Rfam family "Bacterial small subunit ribosomal RNA", at positions 524 to 776 of the family's 1533-position model. The record is from RNAcentral.
UACAGAGGUCUCAAGCGUUGUUCGGAUUCAUUGGGCGUAAAGGGUGCGUAGGCGGCGCGGUAAGUCGGGUGUGAAAUCUCGGGGCUUAACUCCGAAACUGCAUUCGAUACUGCCGUGCUUGAGGACUGGAGAGGAGACUGGAAUUUACGGUGUAGCGGUGAAAUGCGUAGAUAUCGUAAGGAAGACCAGUGGCGAAGGCGGGUCUCUGGCCCGAUACUGACGCUGAGGCACGAAAGCGUGGGGAGCAAACAGG